GCUGACUCCUGAAGGAGAUCUCCCCAAACACAGCAGCAGCCCCUUUGGCUUGGUUUGGUUUGCUUCUUGGUUUAGAGGGAUAAACAAGCAGACUAGCAAUUCUUUGUGAAGAGGAACAGACUUAGAUAAUAGUAGUGCAAAUAGAUGGUGCAUUUAAACUUUAAACAGGUACAAAUGUGCCUUUGAGACCAAUUGUCCUAAAAAUCCUGUUAACGUUUCUUUAGCCAUUAAAGUACUUGUUUAUCCUCUGUUUCUUAACUGGACCUGUUCUGGACAAAAUAGAUGUGCAAAUUCUAUUUGGCUCAGGUCUUUAAAGUUUAAAAAAGAGCUUUCAUGAUACAUCAAAACUCAGGCCACACCCCAAAUUAUUUUUAAAAAAUAAAUUCAUAUUAUCAUGCUGAAAGUCAAAAUAGAGCAACUAAAAAUAGCAGGUGACAGCAAUGAUCUAAGUCCAGAGGUAUGGCUAGUGAGUCACAGGGAGAGACCAAAAGAGGGGCUGAUGAAGCGUCACUGAGAGAGGCAGCAAAUGCUCUCAAAUUAAAAUAGACGGUGCCUCCGGAUUGGUGAGGAAAACCCUUCUUUCUUUCCAGGAUUGUUUCUGUGUGACUAACCAAGGAGAUAAGGUACAGAAGUGGAGCACAUUUUUAAUUUUCAUGAGAGCGUUUCACGCUGUUUUAAAAGUUCACAUUCAUCUCUCCCCUGAGACUUGUGUGGCCUGGUCACUGCCCGACACAGAUGAGGAAGGUAAUGGUCAAAGCGGCCAACAGGGCCCAGCCGCAGUGGAGUCCACAGUCCCCACUCCUAUGGCAAAGGCCACGUCUUCCCUGCUGCGGGUGUAGGAUGUUCUAGGGCGAGAGGAACUGAGUACUACUUACUGCAGCAUCUCGUGGUCACAAAUACCGUGUUCCUAAAAAGGUGGAGGUUCCCGGAGGGAAAAGACGGCCCAGCCUGGGCCGCGCCGGCUAAAAACCAGAGUCUCCCCGACGACGGAAGGCCUUUCUCCAGAAGACGAAGCCUGUCUCUCAGAGGGCCCUUGGCUUGCGCCAGAGACCGUGCUAAGUGCUUUGCGGGAUUAUAGCCAGAAAAGGGAGGCCAGCAGAGGCGACGGGACUCGUCCAGGGUCUGAGGCUGCCUUAGAGCCCCGCCCUGCAGCAGCAGCCCCGAUCCAGCCCUGCGGCAGUUGGCAGCCCCAGACAGCCCCAAGAUGGCCUGGGCUGUGUGCCAGUAGCACCGUGCGUGCGGCACUUCUCUUCCGUCAAUCCCCGCUCCUUUUUGGGUCGGGCUCCCGGGACACAGAACCUCAGCCAGUCUGCGGGCCUCAGGGAUGACAUGAACCAGCGCGAUGUAGAUGUACACGUGGUCCGGCCCGCGGCGCUGCGCGAGGAGGAGGAGCCAAUGGGCGGGAGACGCCUCUGCUCUCACUCAUUUUCCCCAUCCGGCCUGGUUUAAAGGGUCACAGAUUUGACCCAAUGUGGCUGGGAAGAGCCUCAGAGACCCGCUGAUCCGACCGCUUCAUUCGAAAGGAGGAAACUGACUGACAAGCGAUGUGCUCCAAGUGCCCCGAGUGAGAAGGACUCAAAUGUGACCCGGGCCUCCUCCAUCUAAACCCGGCGAGCCUCCCCAGCCUUCUCUCUGGAGCUAAACUGCAACCUUUCUGUCUUAAAUGACUUUGGGUAAUCCCCCCUCGCCCCCCAAGAAUCCAUCGCUGUUCCCCCAUGGGGAGCAGGCUGGGAGGGAGGGCCUCGGGGGAGGCUCGUGCUUACCGCAGGCAUGGUGAGCAGCUGCGUGGCGGUCACGUUCACGCCUUCGGGAAUGACGUGGAGCUGAUUGAGGCCUCUCGCGUGUUCCCGGAAUAGCUGUGUCAAAGGGAAAUCAGUGUGGAGAUCAUUGCAAUCCUGUUCUGGGAAAGCCAGUACUUGCACUGGAGGGUCUGCGAUGGUUUUCCUCUGUUCACUGUUUCCUAUUUUUGAGCUUUUCUCCCUCUCUGGAGGGAUAGGAAAAGAAGAUGCUUCUGCUUUAUCACCUAUUACCUAAGAGACUGUUUUUUCUAGUACCAGGAUGCUCUCACAAUGGGCCUCCCCCCUCCUCCUGGGCAGCCUUGCUGAUCACUAAGACAGGCUGGCCUUUCCCCCCUCAGGCCAGAGCAAAAUAGGGCAGGACCCACAGAAGAGGAUGGGAAUCCCAGCAAGGAGCUAGGAGGGCCUUCCAUGCUGGCUACCGCUACCAUAGAGAGUGUCAGCCAAGAAUAGAGGAAGUUAUUUAAAAAAACUUUUUUUAGAAAUUCUUUUCUCUUUGUUCUUUAUUCCUGGAAAGCUCUAAAUGUUAGGUAUACUGAGAGUGGUGAUGGGAAACUUCAAUUAUUUGGACAUCCACCAAAAGAAUGGCGGCUGAAAAAUGGUUAAGGAUAACUAUUUUUUCAAAAGGUAGAAAAAGCAGAAAGGAGAUGUGUUACUGUGGAAAUGAUUCUGGCAAAUGGCAGUGAUCUUGGGGAGGGGGUUCUUUUUUUUCCGUUUUAUUUUUUCCUUUUUUUAAAAUUUAGAAUAUUUUUCAGGGUUACAUGAUUCAUGAUCCCCCCCCCCUUUCCUGCCUUGGGGGGGAAAUUCUUUUUUUUUUUUUAAACCCUUACCUUCCAUCUUGGAGUCAAUACUGUGCCUGGUUCUCAAUCCACUGAGCUACCCAGCUGCCCUUGGGGGGGAAAUUCUUAAAGAUGUUAGGCAUCCCAGGGUGAGAAGAGCUAGAAUGUGAAGCCAGAUCUUCUCCAUCUAAACCUAGCAAGCCCUCCCAGCCUUAUCUCUUGAGCUAAACUUCAACCUUCGUGUCUUAAAUGAACAUGAGGCAUAUUAAGGCAUACUAAAUUACUAUUAGGCAUAGUCUGGUGCGCACCCUAGAUUUUAGGAGAGGAAAUGUCACCAAUCAGAGAAAGAACUUCUUCAUUCAUUGAGUUCAGUGCAAAAGAGACAGAAAACUCUAAAUUUUGACAAAAGAAAUUAUUUCCUGAGGAAGAGAGAGGAGACUUGUUGAAACAGACUAACAUGGAUAUACAUCGACCACUGCAGAUCUUUCCAAAGUCUGUAUAAAAGACUAAAGGGCAAGUGAGAGUGAACACAAAAUAAUGGCCAUCCUGAAAAAACAGGAGCAAAGCUCAGAAUGAAAUGAGUCUUUUUUUCCGUUAAACCUUUACUUUCAUCUUCAAAUCAAUAGUGUGUGUGUGUGUGUGUGUGUGUGUGUGUGUGUGUGUGAAUUGAGAGCCAGGCCUAGAGAUGGAAUGUCCUGGGUGCGAAUGUGGUUUCAGACACUUCCCAGCUGUGUGACCCUGGAAAAGUCCCUUAACUCCCAUUGCCUAGCCCUUACCACUCUUCAACCUUAGAACCGAUACACAGUAUUGAUUCUUUUUUUUUUUAAGAUAGUUUGUUUUCCCAAUUAGAUGUAAUAACAGUUUUCAAUAUAUGUUUCCCAAAAUUAUAUGGUUCAAAUUGUCUCCCUCUCUACCUUCCCUCCCCUUUGUGAAAGGAAAUUUUUAUUCCCUUUGUCUAUUUUAAGUUAAUCAAGAACUUAAAGUACCCCUACUUAACACUUACCAAGUCUCUAAGAAAGAAAAUUCAUGCCUAAAGGGCACAAGUACUGCCCCCCUUACUCCCCCUCUCUGAUGCUAAGCAAAUUGAAAGGCUGUGAUUGGUUCCUGAGAUGUCAUAGACCAGCCCAUGGUGAAAGGAUGGAGAAACCAGAGAGAUAGGAAGUGAUAGGAAGAAAACUGCUUUAAAAAGCCAGCAUUCUGAUUCAUUCUGCUGCCUUGGUGGCUUUUGCUGAGGGAGGACUUCUGCCUUGGUGUCUCUGUGUUGGAGGAAUUCUGCUGCCUUGGACUUCUGCAUUGGAGAUGGACUCUGUACUGAAGAGAUUACUGAGACUCCUGGUUGGAGAUUGGGACCUGAGGGAGCCUUUGUCAGAGUUGAGCUGGAUUUCUUUGGAUCUGCAAUUAUAAGGUAUUUAGCUAGGUAAUAUUUUCUACCUCCUUGCUACAUUUCCCUCUUUACUAUCUCUACCUUGCUGUAAUAAAGCUACUAAACAGCAUUUUGGCUUAAGAAGUUAAUUUUAUAUAUGGUGACCACAAUAAUUCUUUUUUCAACCAUUAUUAUUUUUGCUAAACCAAAUAUUUAAUUACAUCCCCUCAUUUUCCAAUUUUUUGCCACCACAAAAAGUGCAGCUAUAAAUAUUUUUGUACACAUAGGUUCUUUCCCCACUUUACAGACUUAGUGUUAUUACUGGAUCAAAGGACAUGCACUAUUUUAUAGCCCUUUGGGCAUAGUUCAAAAUUGCUCUCCAGAUGGUUGGGUCAGUUCAUAAUUCUACCAACAAUGCAUUAAUGUCCCAAUUUUGGCAUAUCCCUCCAGUAUCGAUCACUUUCUCCUUCACUGUCAUAAUGGCCAAUCUGAUAGGUGUGAGGUGGUACCUCAGACUUGUUUUAAUUUGCAUUCCUCUGAUUGUAAGAGAUUUAAAACACUUUUCAUAUCAUUGACAGCUGAAAGCUGCUUGUUCAUAUCUUUUGACUAUCUGUCAGUUGGGGAACUUGUGUUCUUAUGAAUUUGACUUAGUUCUUCAUAUAUUUGAGAAAUUAGAUUUUUAUUAGAGAAAUUGGCUGAAAAUUUUUUUCCUAGUUUGCUGUUUCCCUUCUUUUCUUGGUUACGUUGAUUUUGUUUGUAUAAACCCUUUUCAAUUUAAUAUAAUAAACAUCAUUUAUUUUACAUCUUGCAAUGUUCUCUAUCGCUUGUUUAGUCAUAAAUUCUUCCCUUCUUCAUAGAUCUGUCAGGUAAACUAUUCUAUGUUCCCCUAAUUAAUAAUAUUCAUUCUAAGAGGGAAGGAUUUGUUGUUUUAAAUCAAUCUUAUUUUCUGUCUUAGUACCCAUUCUGAGACAAAAGACUGGCAAGGGCUAGGCAGUUGGGGCUAAGUGACUUGACCAACCUCACACAGCUAGGAAGUGUUUGAAGCUAGAUCGGAACCUGGAUCACCCCAAUUCUAGGCCUAGGGGGUCUACCCACUGUGCUUACAUAGCUAUCUUUACAAUAUUACAUUUUUUUUUAAAAACCGUACCUUCCAUCUUAAAAUCAAUACUAUGUACUAGUUCUAAGACAGAAGAGUGGUAA
Non-coding RNA from Monodelphis domestica (gray short-tailed opossum), 5138 nucleotides. Lineage: Eukaryota; Metazoa; Chordata; Mammalia; Didelphimorphia; Didelphidae. The record is from RefSeq and is a predicted model, not a curated record.